GCUAAGCAUAUCAAUAAGCGGAGGAAAAGAAACCAACAGGGAUUGCCUCAGUAACUGCGAGUGAAGCGGCAAAAGCUCAAAUUUGAAAUCUGGUACCUUUGGGUGCUCGAGUUGUAAUUUGGAGAGGCAACUUCGAAGAAGGCGCUGGCCUAAGUUCCUUGGAACAGGACGUCACAGAGGGUGAGAAUCCCGUGCUUGGCUGGCUGUCCUUCUUCAUGUGAAGUGUCUUCGACGAGUCGAGUUGUUUGGGAAUGCAGCUCAAAAUGGGUGGUAAACUCCAUCUAAGGCUAAAUAUUGGCGAGAGACCGAUAGCGCACAAGUAGAGUGAUCGAAAGAUGAAAAGCACUUUGAAAAGAGAGUUAAAAAGUACGUGAAAUUGUUGAAAGGGAAGCGCUUGAGACCAGACUCAGUGAUUGGUGAUCAGUGGUUGCUUUUGCGCCAUGCACUUGCCUUUUACUGGGCCAGCAUCAGUUGUGACGGUGGGAUAAAGGUUUAGGGAAUGUGGCUCUCUUCGGGGAGUGUUAUAGCCCUAGGCGGAAUGCCACCAGUUGUGACUGAGGACCGCGCUUCGGCUAGGAUGCUGGCAUAAUGGUCUUCAGCGACCCGUCUUGAAACACGGACCAAGGAGUCUAACAUCUAUGCGAGUGUUCGGGUGUAAAACCCCUACGCGUAAUGAAAGUGAACGGAGGUGGGAACUCUUUGGAGUGCACCAUCGACCGAUCCUGAUGUCUUCGGAUGGAUUUGAGUAGGAGCAUAGCUGUUGGGACCCGAAAGAUGGUGAACUAUGCCUGAAUAGGGUGAAGCCAGAGGAAACUCUGGUGGAGGCUCGCAGCGGUUCUGACGUGCAAAUCGAUCGUCAAAUUUGGGUAUAGGGGCGAAAGACUAAUCGAACCAUCUAGUAGCUGGUUCCUGCCGAGCU
RNAcentral lists this ribosomal RNA (919 nucleotides) under Galiella sp. Its description in RNAcentral is "partial large subunit ribosomal RNA". It matches the Rfam family "Eukaryotic large subunit ribosomal RNA", at positions 33 to 967 of the family's 3401-position model. Lineage: Eukaryota; Fungi; Ascomycota; Pezizomycetes; Pezizales; Sarcosomataceae. The record is from RNAcentral.